This 67-nucleotide transfer RNA is filed under the name Asychis amphiglyptus. RNAcentral's name for it is "tRNA-Phe". The record is from RNAcentral. Lineage: Eukaryota; Metazoa; Annelida; Polychaeta; Maldanidae.
ACUAUAAUAGCCUACAUUUAAGGCAUAACAUUGAAGCUGUUAAAACGGUAUCCUACACCUUAUAGUA